CCUACGGGAGGCAGCAGUGAGGAAUAUUGGUCAAUGGACGAGAGUCUGAACCAGCCAAGUAGCGUGAAGGAUGACUGCCCUAUGGGUUGUAAACUUCUUUUAUAUGGGAAUAAAAUGUUCCACGUGUGGGAUUUUGUAUGUACCAUAUGAAUAAGGAUCGACUAACUCCGUGCCAGCAGCCGCGGUAAUACGGAGGAUCCGAGCGUUAUCCGGAUUUAUUGGGUUUAAAGGGAGCGUAGGUGGAUUGUUAAGUCAGUUGUGAAAGUUUGCGGCUCAACCGUAAAAUUGCAGUUGAAACUGGCAGUCUUGAGUACAGGAGAGGUGGGCGGAAUUCGUGGUGUAGCGGUGAAAUGCUUAGAUAUCACGAAGAACUCCGAUUGCGAAGGCAGUUCACUGGACUGCAACUGACACUGAGGCUCGAAAGUGUGGGUAUCAAACAGGAUUAGAUACCCUAGUAGUC
RNAcentral lists this ribosomal RNA (460 nucleotides) under uncultured bacterium. Its description in RNAcentral is "partial 16S ribosomal RNA". It matches the Rfam family "Bacterial small subunit ribosomal RNA", at positions 338 to 795 of the family's 1533-position model. The record is from RNAcentral.